AUGGGGCCAUCCCUUUCUCCCUCCCUGACUUUAGGGUACAAGGACUUGUAAGCGGAGCCUCUGUUGGGCACGACUGUCCUCUGCUCCCAGGCUCCCCGGGGCACGGAGCUCAGACACGGCUGACACAGACCACGCCUGCCUUUUGUAGUGCCUCUCUCUCUUUUCUGUCCCUGGGCAGAGGAUGGACCAGGCCACCGCUGUGCUAGGGGCUGGCAUGUAUGUGCCAGCUUUCCUGUGGGUUUGCUUAGGGCCCCAAGAUGAACACCUGGAAUUAAGAGACCAGCUGGCAGCAGCUGGGCGGAAGCGCACAGGGUGGGCACCCCUGGGCUGGGGCUGCUGCUGGCCACAGGGGGAGACCUUCCCGGGGGUCAGAGAAAGCUGGGCAUGCGCCACACUCUGUGAGAGCAGGGGUGGUUUGUGAAGCAUCCUUAGGCCUCUGUGGAGAAGGCAGUUUCUCUGACCCAGGAAACAACAUCAGACCCACUCAGGUUCAGAAAAGGACAGGACCAACUUAAGAAGCAGGUUGAACUCCUAAACACCCUGCUGGAGUGACUGAAGGGGGUUAGGAGGCGCCUGGGGCGUUUUCCGUGUCUGCACAGAGAACCGACAACGGGGACUAUUCCUGCUGUUGCGAAAGAAUGGGCCUGGAAACCUGCAGAGCAGGAGAGACCGAGACUGAGGAGGGGCCUGGGACAGAGGACCCGCCAAGACGGCCGGCUUUGAAAGCUUCACCAGGAGCAGCUUCUGCUCAGACUUCAGUUGUGAGGCUGAGUCUCCACUGGGAGACCCCUGUGGGGACCUGAGGUUUGUCUCUGAGACAAGACAGGAGGAUCUGGGGUCUGAGAUUAAAGGGCAGGAGGAAGCAGCAGUCACAGUGACCACUGGGGCAGAGGAACAAGACCCCCAGCACCUCCGUGGGUGUGGAAGUGGAGAGGGAGCAGGGCACCUGGGAACUGAGUGGGAGCACUCAGGCCUUGCUCAGUGUCCCCUUCCAGGGGCAGCACAGCCAUCAGCAGGAUUCACCUGGACCUCUGCCCCCAUCCUGCCUGGGAGACUCUCUGCUUGGGGACAGGGUGGAAGGGGCUGGUUGCCCUGGGCUUCUUCCCUGGCUCUGCCGACCGGAGAGAAGGUGUGCUUCCUACCAAAGUUCCGGCCAUCCUACGCGGCAUGGGGGCUGCUCUCAGAGUCAGGUGAUAACACACAGGAAAUAUCUUGUUCUGGCUGCUUCCUCUGAGUUUCGACUUCCCUCCACAGGCAGCCUGCUUUUGUUCACUUUCUAGAAGCCUCAGGCAGUUGUUCUUUGAAUAUUGUCUUCACAGAGAUGUCUUCCCAUCCAGUUUAUACAGAGAGAGCUGGAGAACCCUAUUGUCUCCUCCGGAUGGCAGGCCCUGCCCUCUCCACCCAGGUGUGGAGGUGUGUGCUGAUGCCCUGGGAGCUGCCCUGGGAGGUGCAGGCUGAAGGGUUGUUAUCAAGUGGCCCAGGUCCUCAGAAACGUCAGGUCUCCUGCAGCUCCCAAGGACACAGGCGUGUCCCCCUAGAUAAAACCACAGCCAGAUUCCUUUGUGGCCAACAGCCCACAUCUGAGUCCUGGUAGUUGGGGAACUGACAAGAGUGAAAGUCUUAGUGGCCACACUUGGCCUUGGCUGUCCAGGGGGGAUGGGGUAGAAGCUCUCCUUCUAACCUGAUGCCCAACUCAGCCUCUAUAUCCACUGCAGAGGCAAUGGAACCACAAUCCACCUGCUCUGCCUGGUUCCGGGAAUGCUCCUCCAGGUUCUGCAGCCCCUUUGACUGGCCCGGGACACCCCAUUCUUCCCCUGAGACAUCAGGACCCAGCUCUGGGGUCCCCGGGGUGGGUUCUGUCAGUCAGCUGUGUCUUCCUUGGCUGUCCAGCCUCCUCUGUCCCUUUCUCAAGACACCUGAAUUCCUUGGGCUGGGCAGGAGAAGAGGGACUGUGUGCAGGAGAAGAGGGACUGUUGAUCAAGGUGCUGGCCCUUGAGGAAGCCAGGUCAGCUGGACUUUCUUUGAGGAGCCGGACUCUCAAGUGAAGUUUGUUAAGGCGUUAAAAUGCAGUUGGAUAAAAUUUGUUUGGUGGCACCUCCUUAACAAGACGGCAGAGAUAUUCCUGGUGCUCAGUUCCUGGAGCUGCUUUUCUUCGUGCCUGGUUCUGGGGAUAUUUGCAGGCUCUGAGUCCAGCCCCUGCCCUUUCAUGAGCCAUUGUGAUCCCAUCAGUGAAGUCCUUUUCUGUCUAACCUGGAUAAAGUUGGUCUCGCUGGCAAAAA
Vicugna pacos (alpaca) is the source of this 2279-nucleotide non-coding RNA. The record is from RefSeq and is a predicted model, not a curated record. NCBI's taxonomy places the organism in Eukaryota, Metazoa, Chordata, Mammalia, Artiodactyla, Camelidae.